RNAcentral lists this ribosomal RNA (755 nucleotides) under uncultured Lactobacillus sp. RNAcentral describes it as "bacterial SSU rRNA". It matches the Rfam family "Bacterial small subunit ribosomal RNA", at positions 743 to 1502 of the family's 1533-position model. Lineage: Bacteria; Bacillati; Bacillota; Bacilli; Lactobacillales; Lactobacillaceae. The record is from RNAcentral.
ACGCUGAGCUCGAAAGUAUGGGUAGCAAACAGGAUUAGAUACCUGGUAGUCCAUACCGUAAACGAUGAAUGCUAAGUGUGGAGGGUUUCCGCCUUCAGUGCUGCAGCUAACGCAUUAAGCAUUCCGCCUGGGGAGUACGGCCGCAAGGCUGAAACUCAAAGGAAUUGACGGGGGCCCGCACAAGCGGUGGAGCAUGUGGUUUAAUUCGAAGCUACGCGAAGAACCUUACCAGGUCUUGACAUACUAUGCAAAUCUAAGAGAUUAGACGUUCCCUUCGGGGACAUGGAUACAGGUGGUGCAUGGUUGUCGUCAGCUCGUGUCGUGAGAUGUUGGGUUAAGUCCCGCAACGAGCGCAACCCUUAUUAUCAGUUGCCAGCAUUAAGUUGGGCACUCUGGUGAGACUGCCGGUGACAAACCGGAGGAAGGUGGGGAUGACGUCAAAUCAUCAUGCCCCUUAUGACCUGGGCUACACACGUGCUACAAUGGAUGGUACAACGAGUUGCGAACUCGCGAGAGCAAGCUAAUCUCUUAAAGCCAUUCUCAGUUCGGAUUGUAGGCUGCAACUCGCCUACAUGAAGUCGGAAUCGCUAGUAAUCGCGGAUCAGCAUGCCGCGGUGAAUACGUUCCCGGGCCUUGUACACACCGCCCGUCACACCAUGAGAGUUUGUAACACCCAAAGUCGGUGGGGUAACCUUUAGGAACCAGCCGCCUAAGGUGGGACAGAUGAUUAGGGUGAAGUCGUAACAAGGUAACCA